This 496-nucleotide ribosomal RNA is filed under the name uncultured bacterium. RNAcentral's name for it is "partial 16S ribosomal RNA". It matches the Rfam family "Bacterial small subunit ribosomal RNA", at positions 28 to 507 of the family's 1533-position model. The record is from RNAcentral.
GAUGAACGCUGGCGGCGUGCCUAAUACAUGCAAGUCGAGCGAACGGACGAGAAGCUUGCUUCUCUGAUGUUAGCGGCGGACGGGUGAGUAACACGUGGAUAACCUACCUAUAAGACUGGGAUAACUUCGGGAAACCGGAGCUAAUACCGGAUAAUAUUUUGAACCGCAUGGUUCAAAAGUGAAAGACGGUCUUGCUGUCACUUAUAGAUGGAUCCGCGCUGCAUUAGCUAGUUGGUAAGGUAACGGCUUACCAAGGCAACGAUGCAUAGCCGACCUGAGAGGGGAAUCGGCCACACGGGAACUGAGACACGGUCCAGACUCCUACGGGAGGCAGCAGUAGGGAAUCUUCCGCAAUGGGCGAAAGCCUGACGGAGCAACGCCGCGUGAGUGAUGAAGGUCUUCGGAUCGUAAAACUCUGUUAUUAGGGAAGAACAUAUGUGUAAGUAACUGUGCACAUCUUACGGUACCUAAUCAGAAAGCCACGGCUAACUACGUG